RNAcentral lists this ribosomal RNA (268 nucleotides) under uncultured bacterium. Its description in RNAcentral is "partial 16S ribosomal RNA". It matches the Rfam family "Bacterial small subunit ribosomal RNA", at positions 793 to 1055 of the family's 1533-position model. The record is from RNAcentral.
GUCCUAGCCGUAAACGGUGGGUGCUAGGUGUGGGGGUCGCAAGACUUCCGUGCCGCAGCUAACGCAUUAAGCACCCCGCCUGGGGAGUACGGCCGCAAGGCUAAAACUCAAAGGAAUUGACGGGGGCCCGCACAAGCGGCGGAGCGCGUGGCUUAAUUCGAUGCAAAGCGAAGAACCUUACCGGGGUUUGACAUGUUGGCAGUAGUCACCCGAAAGGGUCGGCGACCCGUAAAGUCGGGUACCAGCACAGGUGCUGCAUGGCUGUCGU